Molecule: long non-coding RNA, 334 nt
Organism: Quercus lobata
Lineage: Eukaryota; Viridiplantae; Streptophyta; Magnoliopsida; Fagales; Fagaceae
Exons: 4
Source: RefSeq, a predicted model, not a curated record
GGACAAAGGACAUUUAUGGCGAUUGAAGUCUUUAUGAGUGGGAUAAAGUUAUGAAAUGAAGUAGAAAGGCUUCGGUUUUCUUGUUAAAUGUGCCUUGAAGCAAACCAAUUCUCUGGCAUUGUUCCUCCUGAGCUUGGGGAUUUGACCAACUUGCAGACUUUGUGAGACGCCUCAGUUCUUCAUAUUGGAUGCUCUCCUCCAAUAGUUUGACAGGGAACUUGCCAUUGGCUUUUGCUGGGCUGAGAAACCUAACAGAUUUUAGGAUAAAUGAUAACAACUUCAGAGGAAUUAUACUUGAUUUUGUACAGAAUUGGAAACAACGGACAAGAUUGUG